GCCCUAUACCCGUUAAGGCAUGAUGGCCUGUACCCGAAACCGACACAGGUGGGGUGGUAGAGAAUACCGAGGGGCGCGAGAUAACUCUCUCUAAGGAACUCGGCAAAAUGGCCCCGUAACUUCGGGAGAAGGGGUGCCACCGCAAGGUGGUCGCAGUGAAGAGGCCCAGGCGACUGUUUACCAAAAACACAGGUCUCCGCUAAGUCGCAAGACGAUGUAUGGGGGCUGACGCCUGCCCAGUGCCGGAAGGUUAAGGAAGCUGGUCAGCGUAAGCGAAGCUAGCGACUGAAGCCCCGGUGAACGGCGGCCGUAACAAUAACGGUCCUAAGGUAGCGAAAUUCCUUGUCGGGUAAGUUCCGACCCGCACGAAAGGCGUAACGAUCUGGGCGCUGUCUCGGAGAGAGGCUCGGCGAAAUAGAAUUGUCUGUGAAGAUGCGGACUACGUGCACCCGGACAGAAAGACCCUAUGAAGCUUUACUGUAGCUUGGUAUUGUGCUCGGGCUCGGAAUGCGCAGGAUAGGUGGGAGGCUAUGAACCAUUGCUUGUGGGUGAUGGUGAGCCACUGGUGAGAUACCACUCUUUCCGAGCUAGAGUUCUAACAGCCACCCGUUAUCCGGGGGCUGGACAGUAUCAGGUGGGCAGUUUGACUGGGGCGGUCGCCUCCUAAAAGGUAACGGAGGCGCGCAAAGGUUUGCUCAGGCUGGUUGGAAAUCAGCCGACGAGUGUAAAAGCAGAAGCAAGCUUGACUGUGAGACCUACAAGUCGAACAGGGAGGAAACUCGGCUUUAGUGAUCCGACGGUUCUGCGUGGAAGGGCCGUCGCUCAACGGAUAAAAGUUACUCUAGGAUAACAGGCUGAUCUCCCCCAAGAGUUCACAUCGACGGGGAGGUUUGGCACCUCGAUGUCGGCUCAUCGCAACCUGGGGCUGAAGUCGGUCCCAAGGGUUGGGCUGUUCGCCCAUUAAAGCGGUACGCGAGCUGGGUUCAGAACGUCGUGAGACAGUUCGGUCCAUAUCCGGUGCAUGCGCAGGAAUAUUGAGAGGAUUUCUCCCUAGUACGAGAGGACCGGGAGGAACGCACCUCUGGUGUACCAGUUAUCGUGCCAACGGUAAACGCUGGGUAGCCAUGUGCGGAGAGGAUAACCGCUGAAAGCAUCUAAGUGGGAAGCCCACCUCAAGAUGAGUAUUCCCAUGGGGUAACCCAGUAAGGUCACGGGAAGAACACCCGUUGAUAGGCUCUACGUGGAAGCGCAGUAAUGUGUGAAGCGGAGGAGUACUAAUAGACCGAGGGCUUGAC
RNAcentral lists this ribosomal RNA (1295 nucleotides) under metagenome. RNAcentral's name for it is "bacterial LSU rRNA". It matches the Rfam family "Bacterial large subunit ribosomal RNA", at positions 1617 to 2925 of the family's 2925-position model. The record is from RNAcentral.